CCGUUCGCCAGCCCGCGUCAAGAAACUACAAAUGAAGUUGACGGGGGCCCGGCGACAAGCGGAGGAGCAUGUGGUUUAAUUCGAUGAUACGCGAGGAACCUUACCUGGGCUCGAACGUAAGAUGACUGUAGGUGAAAGCUUACAUCUCUUCGGAGCAUUUUACGAGGUGCUGCAUGGUUGUCGUCAGCUCGUGCCGUGAGGUGUCGGGUUAAGUCCCAUAACGAGCGCAACCCCUACCUUUAGUUGCCAUCAGGUUAAGCUGGGGACUCUAAAGGAACUGCCUACGCAAGUAGUGAGGAAGGCGGGGAUGACGUCAAAUCAGCACGGCCCUUACGUCCAGGGCUACACACGUGCUACAAUGGCCGAUACAGAGGGCAGCUACCUGGUGACAGGAUGCAAAUCUCCAAAGUCGGUCUCAGUUCGGAUCGGAGUCUGCAACCCGACUCCGUGAAGUUGGAUUCGCUAGUAAUCGCGCAUCAGCCAUGGCGCGGUGAAUACGUUCCCGGGCCUU
RNAcentral lists this ribosomal RNA (511 nucleotides) under uncultured Sphingobacteriales bacterium. RNAcentral describes it as "bacterial SSU rRNA". It matches the Rfam family "Bacterial small subunit ribosomal RNA", at positions 903 to 1382 of the family's 1533-position model. Lineage: Bacteria; Pseudomonadati; Bacteroidota; Sphingobacteriia; Sphingobacteriales. The record is from RNAcentral.